This is a non-coding RNA of Alternaria viburni, 73 nucleotides long. Lineage: Eukaryota; Fungi; Ascomycota; Dothideomycetes; Pleosporales; Pleosporaceae. The record is from the annotation of a RefSeq genome assembly.
ACAUACAUCCAGCAAGCGGUAAGGCGUCGCACUUGUAAUGCGAAGAUCACUCGUUCGAUUCGGGUAGUGGGCA